UACGUAGGGGGCGAGCGUUGUCCGGAAUCAUUGGGCGUAAAGCGCGUGUAGGCGGCCCGGUAAGUCCGCUGUGAAAGUCGGGGGCUCAACCCUCGAAUGCCGGUGGAUACUGUCGGGCUAGAGUGCGGAAGAGGCGAGUGGAAUUCCUGGUGUAGCGGUGAAAUGCGCAGAUAUCAGGAGGAACACCUAUUGCGAAGGCAGCUCGCUGGGACGUAACUGACGCUGAGACGCGAAAGCGUGGGGAGCAAACAGG
This 253-nucleotide ribosomal RNA is filed under the name uncultured bacterium. Its description in RNAcentral is "partial 16S ribosomal RNA". It matches the Rfam family "Bacterial small subunit ribosomal RNA", at positions 524 to 776 of the family's 1533-position model. The record is from RNAcentral.